UACGGGGGGGGCAAGCGUUGUUCGGAAUUACUGGGCGUAAAGCGCUCGUAGGUGGCCGACUAAGUCGGACGUGAAAGCCCUCGGCUCAACCGGGGAAUGGCGUCCGAGACUGGUCGGCUGGAGUCUGGGAGAGGGAUGUGGAAUUCCAGGUGUAGCGGUGAAAUGCGUAGAUAUCUGGAGGAACACCGGUGGCGAAGGCGGCAUCCUGGACCAGUACUGACACUGAGGAGCGAAAGCCAGGGGAGCAAACGGG
Molecule: unclassified non-coding RNA, 253 nt
Filed under: uncultured Acidobacteriota bacterium
Lineage: Bacteria; Pseudomonadati; Acidobacteriota
Description: uncultured Acidobacteria bacterium contains 16S-23S intergenic spacer region
Rfam family: Bacterial small subunit ribosomal RNA
Source: RNAcentral